GAUGAACGCUGGCGGCGUGCCUAAUACAUGCAAGUCGAGCGAACAGACGAGGAGCUUGCUCCUCUGACGUUAGCGGCGGACGGGUGAGUAACACGUGGAUAACCUACCUAUAAGACUGGGAUAACUUCGGGAAACCGGAGCUAAUACCGGAUAAUAUAUUGAACCGCAUGGGUCAAUAGUGAAAGACGGUUUUGCUGUCACUUAUAGAUGGAUCCGCGCCGCAUUAGCUAGUUGGUAAGGUAACGGCUUACCAAGGCGACGAUGCGUAGCCGACCUGAGAGGGUGAUCGGCCACCCUGGAACUGAGACACGGUCCAGACUCCUACGGGAGGCAGCAGUAGGGAAUCUUCCGCAAUGGGCGAAAGCCUGACGGAGCAACGCCGCGUGAGUGAUGAAGGUCUUCGGAUCGUAAAACUCUGUUAUUAGGGAAGAACAAAUGUGUAAGUAACUAUGCACGUCUUGACGGUACCUAAUCAGAAAGCCACGGCUAACUACGUG
RNAcentral lists this ribosomal RNA (497 nucleotides) under uncultured bacterium. RNAcentral's name for it is "partial 16S ribosomal RNA". It matches the Rfam family "Bacterial small subunit ribosomal RNA", at positions 28 to 507 of the family's 1533-position model. The record is from RNAcentral.